RNAcentral lists this ribosomal RNA (264 nucleotides) under Triticum aestivum (bread wheat). RNAcentral describes it as "partial small subunit ribosomal RNA". Lineage: Eukaryota; Viridiplantae; Streptophyta; Magnoliopsida; Poales; Poaceae. The record is from RNAcentral.
AUGAGCAUGCUGAUAUGUCUCAAAAGAUUAAGCAGAUGCGUGAAGAGAUGGAAAAAAAGUUAUAGCAGGACUGCGAGGUCAUGGAAAAGAAAUUCCAGUUGGCGUACAAGGAGCUGCGGCUUAAAUUGCAAAAGGACCGGAAGGUUGUCGACGGCCUUAUACAGACAGAGCGUGUCAACAUGGACGCAAAUGUGUUGCAGGCACGUGCCAAUAUGGACAUUAGGUUGCAACAGGAGCGCGAGGACAUGGACUACAAGGCUAUGA